CCUACGGGCGGCAGCAGUGGGGAAUAUUGGGCAAUGGGCGCAAGCCUGACCCAGCAACGCCGCGUGAAGGAAGAAGGCUUUCGGGUUGUAAACUUCUUUUCUCAGGGACGAAGCAAGUGAUGGUACCUGAGGAAUAAGCCACGGCCAACUACGUGCCAGCAGCCGCGGUAAUACGUAGGCGGCAAGCGUUAUCCGGAUUUACUGGGUGUAAAGGGCGUGUAGGCGGGAAAGCAAGUCAGAUGUGAAAACCAUGGGCUCAACCUGUGGACUGCAUUUGAAACUGUUUUUCUUGAGUGCUGGAGAGGCAGACGGAAUUCCUAGUGUAGCGGUGAAAUGCGUAGAUAUUAGGAGGAACACCAGUGGCGAAGGCGGUCUGCUGGACAGCAACUGACGCUGAGGCGCGAAAGCGUGGGGAGCAAACAGGAUUAGAUACCCUGGUAGUC
This 443-nucleotide ribosomal RNA is filed under the name uncultured bacterium. RNAcentral describes it as "partial 16S ribosomal RNA". It matches the Rfam family "Bacterial small subunit ribosomal RNA", at positions 338 to 795 of the family's 1533-position model. The record is from RNAcentral.